RNAcentral lists this small RNA (1391 nucleotides) under Caenorhabditis elegans. RNAcentral's name for it is "Unclassified non-coding RNA M01G5.12". The record is from RNAcentral. Lineage: Eukaryota; Metazoa; Nematoda; Chromadorea; Rhabditida; Rhabditidae.
GCAGCAGCACCCCUCCUCCGAAGGUAAAGCUGCUUGACGACGCCCUCGCCGCCUCCUAUAUUGCAGAAAAUCCUACAGUAACCCUAAUGGCCGACGCUACAACAAUUUGUCACCUGCUGACACCAAAUUGGGAAUCCCGGGACUACGAUUACACUAUUCCGUGUGUAGUCCGAGAGGAGAAUCUGCCUGGAGUAGGAUGGCGCAAAGUUGUCGUACUUUCGAAGCCGAUGCCCAGUGGAAGGGUACUGGUUUUUGCUCGGCUGAAAAUUUUAAGAAUUUUUUUUAAUCGAUUUCCCCUGUGACUUGUGUGCUUCUAUUCAGAGUUUUUGGCAUAAAAACGGGUAUUUAUUCACAUUUUCAGUCUUAAAUUGGCUGAAAAUGUGAAUAAAUACCGUAUUUCUGCCAACAAUUUGACAAUAGAGCACAUUUGUCACUCGGACAUGCGGAAGCUAUGCCCAAAUUUUCAUUUUUUUUUUCCCGAAAAACUUUGGCUUUUCACAGAUUUUCAAUAGAAAAUUCGAGUUUUCCGUCACUUUUUAUCCCCGGAAACCGGUUUUCAACCAAUUUGGACGAAGUGUCGUAAAGUUCGGUGCCGAGUACGCAGACACUCGGUGUUUGCGUACUUUUGGGGCUACCGUACCCCUCGGAUUUCAAAAAUAGAGCUAGAGGUCCAUUCGGGGUGAAAUUGAACGGAGAAUUCGAGUUUUAGUUUGAAAAUUUCUUUUUAAAAGUUUUUUUCAUAAAAAAAAUUUAAUUUUUCCAAUUUUUCAGAUCACCAAAGCCUCUAUCCAACGAAAAUCGCUGAAGCGAGCUCUGAGAUCGCAAUUUUUGCUCAAAAAAUCGCCGAAAAUCGCGGAAAAGCCAGUAGUACCCGACGCAAUAGAAGUGGAGCCCACAACAACAUCAGAAGCUCCAGCAGAAGCUCGCGGAGCCACCGAUUUUCUCGACGAUAUUCUCACAGAAAUGGCGACGAAAAAAUCGAAAAAAGAGGCGAAAAACGAGGAGAAAAUUCCGGAAAAUCAGCGAAAAUCCACGUAUCAAUACGGAAUUUUUCGAAUUGGAGACGCCCGGCUUCUCGUUCGUUCGAAUGCUCCGUACGGUGUAAAUGAGCCCGGAGAGAAGAAGCAUGCAUUCUUGCACCACAGCUCACAGCGGGCUCAAGCUCAGGCUCACAUGGUCACUUUUGAGCCACGUAUUGAAUAUCUUCCAAAUGGCGGAGCAAUGGAUCUUGGAGCACCGGAAUGGUGUUGGAAUUUCACGAAAGCAGUGCUGAAAAUGAGCGAUUCGCACAUUUUAUAUAGAACUUCGUAUCGGCUUGAUCAUAUUUUGCAGAUUGAUGCAUUGACUAUGAAGGUUGAUGUACAGGAGCCACCUCCGGGCGCUUUUGGAUU